This 216-nucleotide long non-coding RNA is filed under the name Lathyrus oleraceus (garden pea). Its description in RNAcentral is "Pisum sativum (pea) long non-coding RNA (PSAT_LNC038469)". Lineage: Eukaryota; Viridiplantae; Streptophyta; Magnoliopsida; Fabales; Fabaceae. The record is from RNAcentral.
CGCCACCGACGCUAUUCAUCCUAUGACGGAAAGGGAGCGCAGGACUAACCUAAGAAAGGGAAAGGAACAGUCUUACGACCAGAGAUUACAAGGUACGGGAGUCGGUUACGCAAGGGGAAGGUAUUAGCACCCCUCACGUCCGCCGUACUCGACGGGAUCCACGCUCAAAAGAUUGCUCAAAGAAUAGGAUAAGGGUUGCUAAUAAACUACUCAAAG